GAUGAACGCUGGCGGCGUGCCUAAUACAUGCAAGUCGAGCGAACAGACGAGGAGCUUGCUCCUCUGACGUUAGCGGCGGACGGGUGAGUAACACGUGGAUAACCUACCUAUAAGACUGGGAUAACUUCGGGAAACCGGAGCUAAUACCGGAUAAUAUAUUGAACCGCAUGGUUCAAUAGUGAAGGACGGUUUUGCUGUCACUUAUAGAUGGAUCCGCGCCGCAUUAGCUAGUUGGUAAGGUAACGGCUUACCAAGGUAACGAUGCGUAGCCGACCUGAGAGGGUGAUCGGCCACACUGGAACUGAGACACGGUCCAGACUCCUACGGGAGGCAGCAGUAGGGAAUCUUCCGCAAUGGGCGAAAGCUUGACGGAGCAACGCCGCGUGAGUGAUGAAGGUCUUCGGAUCGUAAAACUCCGUUAUUAGGGAAGAACAAAUGUGUAAGUAACUAUGCACGUCUUGACGGUACCUAAUCAGAAAGCCACGGCUAACUACGUG
RNAcentral lists this ribosomal RNA (497 nucleotides) under uncultured bacterium. RNAcentral's name for it is "partial 16S ribosomal RNA". It matches the Rfam family "Bacterial small subunit ribosomal RNA", at positions 28 to 507 of the family's 1533-position model. The record is from RNAcentral.